AAAGAAAAAAAGACAUACAGAAGGAAAUCAGGGAAAAUGGGAAAAUGAAGGGAAUUAACAAAUUGCAAUAAUCUUUAAGAAGUAGAGUAUGAACAAUUUUCCUUUUCUAGGAUGAAAGCUACCAACAACUGAACUCUUAGAGUGAGUGAUGGCAGAAAAAAAUAGCAAUCAAGAAUAGGGGCAUGUUAGUUUUUAGACAUGUUUACAAAACUCUGCCUUUUAUUUCUUAAACCCAUAGGUCAACCACCCAUCAUACCUACAUUACCCCAUAUGACAAGUGGAUUUGUUGUAUGUUUCAAGUUUUUAAUCUUGGUGGGAAGGGGGAGGGCAGAGAAGUAUUUAUUGGUAAAAUAUCAUAAUAAAGGUUGAGCCUGUCAAUGAUUGUACCUAACAAUAAUAAAUAUGUGUAGGAAGUAAGAACGGCAAAAAUGAAGCCGGGUAGGAUACUGUGGAUAUGGUGACAGACAAGUAUCUAUACGAAAUCCUGAGAUAUUUGUCCUCCAUUUCAUAAAUUAAAGUGCCCCCUCUUUUGCUUUACAGAUAAGGAAACUGAGGUGCAUUAUAAUAGCAACAGCAGCUGAUGUGUAGUAGAUCCAUACCACAAGCCAGGUACGAUGUCAAACAUUUAAAUGUAUCAUUUAAUUUAAUUUUCAUAGAUCUCCUACAAGACAAGUGCUAUUAUUUUCAUUUUACAUACGAGAAAACUAAAGCUGACAGAGAUUAAAUAACUUGUCCAAGGUUGCAUAGUAACUAAGUGAAAGAGCCAAGAUAUGAACUCAGAUCUGUCUGAUUUCAAAACCCAGGCCCUUAAACACUAGGCCAGUGGUUUUUUAACCCUGAUUGCACAUUAGAAGCACCUGGCAAGCUUUUAAAACCUACUGAUACUCAGACCCUACCCCAGAACAAUUAAAUCAGAAUUUCUUGUACCUGGGCCCUGAUGUGGGUGUUUGUUUCAAAGCCUUUCUGGGUGACUGUAACAUAUAGCUUGGGUAAAGAAGAAUUGUUGGGUGUCUCCCAUGGAGGUCAGUAUAUCUGUGCCAAUAUGUGAGGUAGUACAAGACUCAAGUGUCCUCAGUCUGUCUGCAGUGGUUUUUCCCUUGCCCCAUCAUGUUCACUUUGACAUCUUUUUUUUAUUAUGAUUUUUGGAGAAGUAAUAUACAAGUGACAAUUUUUUUACAAAGCAUUGUCACAGCAGAACAUGGUCAUAAGUCCAUCAAAGAGAAACCUGUUCAUAUCUAUGUACAGGCUAUGAUGAAUGAAUACAAAGAAGACUAUGUUUAUUACUCUCAUCCCCAAAGGGAAGUAUAAAGCUGGCCUUAAAAGCUGUUCAUACCAAAGCUAAUCACUAAAAUUUGGAAUGGCUUCCUCCUCUCCUUUCACAAAUGCAAUAGGGUAGCCACUGGAUCUAAGGGGAAAAGAUCCAAUUACCACUCUUUACAAUGCUUUUUCACUUAGGAUCUCAAGACGACUGACAGUCAUUCAAAACAUAAAAGUAAAGUGAAAAUAUCUCUAGUAGAAGUGAAAAGAAAAUGUCUGUAGUAGGAAGAAGGCCUAAAUUUGUGUCUAUACUCUGCCACUUUACUGCAAUGACUUGAGGCCAAAAGUAAAGUGACAGAGUAUAGACACAAAUUUACUGCCAUGACUUGAGCCUUGAUUUCCUUUUCUAUAUGUACUUAAGCCAUAUCAUCCUUAGGGCAGUGAUCCAAAAAAUGUGGUCCCCAUCAGCAUCAUGUGGAAACAUAUCAGAAGUGAAAUUAUCAGUCCCUACCCUAGACUCUGAAUCAGAAACUUGGUGAAGGGGCAGUAAUCUGUGUCUUACCAAACAUUGCAAAUAAUUCUGACCACCUCCAGCUGACUCUGAUGUAUCCACCUCCAUGGGGUUGUUGUCUAAGAAUAAAAGGAGAUGGUCCAUAAAAUUGUUAUUUUUUUUACUAUCUACUGAAAUCAGAAAUUUCAAAAUUCUCUCACAGAGAUAUUUUAGAGAAAUAAUGUUACAGCCUACAUUAGUUAGAUAAUAACCUCAUUUCUGAAUUUCACUUUGAAUGUGUAGACGAGGCACAAGUCAACCAGAGGUUAUGCAAUUAGCUUGGAGUCAAAGAGAAAGCAAGGAGUAGAGCUGAGAAGGAAACCCCAGUGUGAACUUGAUUUUUAUUCAAUCAAACUGUUAAGGUACCAACCACGCACUUUCAUCUAUAAUCACAAUGAACCUUUUAAUAAACAUGUUUCUAUCCUCUUAGCUUAAAAAAUAUAACAGUAGCUUUUUGGAUUUUAAAACAGAUUGACUUCUAUACUUCUGGGCUAAAGGCAGCUCAAGAGUCAAUAAGAAUCACAAGCUUUCCACAGUGAGAAGAAAGUGCAAUUGCCCAGUCCUCUCUAUCUAUGAAGUGCAGACAGUAUUCCUCUUCCUCACCUCACACUUUCGAUUAUUGCAAUGGUGGAAACCAUGAUAAAUAAAAGCGCUUAUCUAGUGGUUUGGUUUUCACUAAAAUUACAGACUUCUGUAACAUUAUUUGGAUACCAUAAAACACAAACCAAAUUUUAGGAGAUGCUUUAGGGUGUUUUUUCCCCUGCCCUCCUGUCGGAAGCCCUCUAUCUUUUUACUGUAAUUUAUCUGAUAUAGCUACCAAGAUGCUUGAUACUUUUACAUGCAAGGGUGCUGAAAAACAAAGAGCGAGGGAAUGGGUUGUUAAUGAAAUUCUCUGAUUGUAAAAAGCACUCUGGAAUGAUCAGGUGGUAAAUAAUAAUAAGAGGAAAUAACAUAAAGUGCUUAGGUGCUACAGCGAUAGUCACCAUAUAAAUGCAGAAGAGAUCAGACAUGAAUAGAAUUUGCAUUUUAUGCAGCUGCUGUGUGUGUAUAUAGAAUAUACAGUAGCUAAUUUUUCAAUAAUGCUGGUAAAAUAUUGUUCAAAAUCUAUUCUUGCUGUCUUCUCACUUUAAAAGGCAUUAUAUAGAAAAACACCCAUCUGUCCUAGUGCAAUGGUGAAUGUGUGCAAAGAGCCUAGAAAAAGAGCCUCUUUGCAUACGUGAAAAAAAAGAACUCAAAUAAAAGGAGAUAAUGAAGAAGAGACAAUAGUAACACUAUUAGAACAGCUAUGCAGACAAGCACAAAGGUGAUCUUUGAAAAACAUCAGGGAUAAAUAACUCUGUUAAUGUGUGGCAGAGAAACUACAGUUAAGACAUACAGUAAUAUACCAAAAAUAUAGACAUGCUUUUAUUUUGUCUACUGGGCUAUUGUGAUAGUGAUGGUUGUUUUUGAAUAGAAAGGAAGAAGAGAGUGGGAAGUAGGAUUUCGUUGUUUGUUGUUACUGUUGCUGCUCAGUUUAGAACAACAACAUCAACUACACACCAGACCCGUCCAACAGUUCCACAAACAAUGCUUACCAUGAAUCUGCCCUCAAUUUUCUUGUUGUUAUUUUCCCUUAAUACUUAUUGAUAACCCAAUGCCCAUUCAUUAGAUAUGCUAAAUCCUCGUCCAUGGUUACUCUCCUUUGGAAGAGACUGAGAAGAUGCUAAGAGGGAGUUCCUCUUACACAUAAGGGAAGAGUCUGUUUAGGAAUCUGAGAAAGCAGAGGCCAGGAUAAAGAGACCACUAGUCAAUCAAUACUAAGCACCGAAGACUGAAUCACCCAAAGAUACAAUUAUCUCCCUUCCUUUGUUCUGUCUCUUAGUCAAAUAAAGGAUUGUUUGUAGAACCUUUUCUGUUCCUGAUCUCUAAAAAGCAGGACUGGACUUGCACAUCCAACUAUAAUUCAAAAUAUCUCACACUUCCAACUUGAAAGAAGACAUAAACUGUUUCAAAGAAACUCAGAGAGAGCAAAUGCAUAUUCACAAAACUUACACUUAUUCCUAGAAUAGGAAAAUGGAGAGAGAACUAACCACAUAAGAAAGGGCUAAUCAUAAUAAUAAUAGUAAUAAUGAUGAUAUCAAUCAAUACUUUGGAUUCUAGAGAAUGAUUUAUCACAAAAAUUCACCUGUAUUAAGGGAGACUCCAGGACAAGGAGGUCAUUAAGCUACAUUUCCAUCUUCAGGAUUCAGCCAAACUCAGACUCUCCGGAAAGCUGUAAAUGCUCUCAGAACAGACUUUAGUAAUGAGAUUGGAAUGAACACUGGGCCUAUGGCGUAAAAGCAUCUCCCUGCCCCUUGUUCUAAAAGUUAACUAUUAAACCAUGUGCGGUUCAUCCUGAUUUGGUUUACUCAAUUCUAGAAACAAGGACAUGCUGAUCAGAUUGCCCUGGGCAAUUGAAUACCUACUGAAGCCUUUGGGAAGACAGUGUUCUUCCCACCACCCCUACUUAAAAGGCUUCUGUUACCAGACUAUCAAUUCUGUGUUACUGGUGAAGGAUAGAAAGUAUCUUCUUUUGAAGGACAAGUUUUUCACUCACUGAGUUUUCUGCUUUGGGUAUAUACUCAACAUGUUAAGUGCUUAAUCUUUUUUCCCCCAUUCCCCUUUUUCUACUGUAGUGUGUUUUGUUUGUUUGUUUUUUGUUUUUGUUUUUUUUUAAUUAUUUGAAGAGUCACUUGUCUGGAUGCUUCGUUCUAGUAGAAUUUGGCUGAUUUUUUUCCCAACACCUUUUAGUGGAAUGCAGUAACAGAUGCAUGGAGGGAGAAUUGGUCUUAACAGUAUUUUUAGGUUUCAUCUGUGUCAGAGAGAGAUCUCUUCCCUUUAUUGAUUUCUUGCAUACACUAUCCACACUACAGCUUGAAACAGCUACAACAGUGUUUGAAAAAUUGGUUGUUCCUCACUGUUCAAACCAUUUUUCAAAACAGUCGUUACAAGCUUCAUUUUACUUUCUGUUAUAAGGAGGGUUUUGUUUGGGUUGGUUUCAUUUUCCUUGUGGCGUCAUGCUAGCAGAGAAACACAGUCAGGAAUAUAGCUUUUAAAUGUGGUAUGAUUGGGAUUAUAACCAUAUCAGAAUCUAUAUUGAAAAUUUAUUAGAUUGAGCCAUGUGCAGUUAAAAAGAAAGAAGUCAGAAGUCUUCGAUAUUUUUCACAAACAUGAACACCAUCUCAUGCAAACGUUAAAAUUCACCAAACAAAUGAUACCCCACUGUUGGAAAGAUAUUUUCUCAUGUCAACAACUCAGGAAGGAGUGGGGAGGGAAUGGGACAUAUACAUGUAAAAUUUUUCUCUAUAUUUUUGAUAAUAACUCUCUGUGAAUAUGUUUUACUACCUAGGUAAUGCUUAUAUUUGUAAAAACAUAUAGUUAUAUCAGAAAGUCAAUUUUGAAUAAACCUGAGAAUGGCAAACUAUAAUUUUUAAAAUACUAACCUUUUAGAACUGUUCAUUUUCACUUUUAUUUCCAGGACUCACUAUCUUAAAGAGAAGAAUAAAAGUUGAAGAUCCUUGGGAUUAACAGAAAGGGUGGAAAUAGCCAAAUGUAUUCAUAUUUUUGGCCAGGCGCAGUGGCUUAUGCCUGUAGUCCCAGCACUUUGAGAGGCUGAGGCAGGCAGAUCACCUAAGGUCAGGAGCUCGAGACCAGCCUGGCCAACAUGGUGAAACCCUCUCUCUACUAAAAAUAUAAAAAAUUAGCCAGGCAUGGUGGUACACACCUGUAAUCCCAGUUCGGGAGGCUGAGGCAGGAGAAUUGCUUGAACCCAGGAGAUGGAGGUUGCAGUGAGCAAAGACUGAGCCACUACACUCCAGCCUGGGUGACAGAGCAAGAUUCUGUCUCAAUAAAAUAAAAUAAAAUGACGUUCAUAUUUUUAAAAUACAGCAAUAUUCAUUUGUUUAAAAAACAAGAUUGAGAGCACAGUUAUAUAGUGACUUUUGAUACAUACACAAUAAAACUUAUUGAAUUUUCAAAAAGUGAGAAAAAAACUACUCUGCUUUAAAUUUAAAGUAAUAAAUAAUAAUGAAGACAUAUCAACAUUGGUAACUGUCAGAGUGAGAAAAGGAAAUUGAACAUUCAAUGUGACCAGAGGAAGGGUGAACAUGGGAGAUACUGCCCAGGAAAAGUGCUCAUGAUGAGUAAUUCAAAGACCCAGAAUCUUAACAUAAAUUUUUUAUAGUUUUCUUUUCAAGGGACUAUUUGAAAAAAGAUGGUUCUGGGGUUUUUGUUGUAGCUUCUUUCUUUCUUUCUUUCUUUCUUUCUUUCUUUCUUUCUUUCUUUCUUUCUUUCUUCUUUCUUUCUUUCUUUUCUCUCUCUCUCUCUCUCUCUCUCUCUUUCUUUCUUUUGGCUUUGUUGUAGCUUCCUCUUUCUCUCUCUCUCUUUCUCUUUCUUUCUAGCUAAAAUUUCACUCUAAAUUCCAGGAAAUUUUCACGAGAUCCUUUUAGAGGUUCUGACACAAAUAAAGUAAAAGUAAACCUGUUGUGGCAAAGUUACUAACUAGUCUACACUAACUCUCAGUCCUUGCUCAAAGCAAAAUAAUGGAGUUUGGGGUGCAAUCUGGUGAACUCAAUGGUCCAACUGCAUAAAGGCAAAGAGGAAAGCCAGGCUUGGGCACUUCUGUAGAAAAUGAAGAUUACUGGUUUGAAGGCCAGUCUUCUCACUGCUUCACUGUAUGUGGUGACUAUUGUUAAAUUAGAUAUCCCUAUUCUGAUGAAAAGGCAAUGUGCUAUUUUUGGGGUAUACAUGUUUCAAGCUGUAAACUGCAAAGUGCUGUAUAAAAGUAAAGUGGUGUUAAUGCCUCAUAAGAUAAACAUAUAGAUUGAUGAUGGAGGCAUUUAAAAUGCUUUAAUUGCCCACUUUAAUAAAGCACUAAAUAAUUAUAAUAAAAACAAUUCUUCAGAAAACUUGGUGGGAAAAAGGCCUACAGGAUAUGUUUGUUAAGAAUAAUUAGAUUUUAGUUUUGGAGGAAAAGGUAGGACAAGUCACAGGAGGCACUCGAUGAGAAGUCAGGAAUGCCUAGUACAUAAGCCACACAUAUUAAGUUGUAGUUUCUUCAAAACUGACAAUAACAUGUCCUCCAAAACCAAAGGGAAAAUCAAAGGAUGUUGCCUAUACUUAUGUACCUUUUGCUACUGGAGAUCUAGUCAAUCUAUAGCCUUGGAUUCAUAGUUCUAUAACAUGACAACAUAGCAAAAUCUCACCAACACUUUGUUUUAAAGAAAUUGGCAGCUGGGUGCGGUGGCUCAAGCCUGUAAUCCAUGAACUUUGGGAGGCCAAGGUGGGCGGAUCACAAGGUCAGGAAUUUGAGACCAGCCUGGCCAACAUAGUGAAACCCCGUCGCUACUAAAAAUACAAAAAAGUAGCUGGGUGUGGCGGUGGAUACCUGUAAUCCUGGCUACUUGGGAGGCAGAGGCAAGAGAAUCACUUGAACCCAGGAGGCGGAGCUUGCAGUGAGCCGAGAUCGCACCAUUGCACUCCAACCCAGGCAACAGUCCGUGACUCCAUCAAAGAAAGAAAGAAAGAAAAGGAAGGAAGGAAGGAAGGAAGGAAGGAAGGAAGGAAGGAAGGAAGGAAGGAAUAAAUUGGCUAUGCCUCCAAGUGAAUUAUACUAUAAACUUCUUUCCCAUUACCAAUAAUGUAAAUAUAUAACCAGGCACAAGCAUGUGGAAAUGGAGAAAGGAUGAACGUUAGUCUUAGAAACUUUGGUUUGUAUCCCAUUUCCACCUUUUAACAAGUCAUUUAGCCUCUCUAGGUCAAGAUUUUCUUACCUAUUAAAUGAAGAUAAUGGUACCCAUCUCACAAAAUUGUUUUAAGAAUUAAAUGUAAAAUGCUUGGCACAGAGAGGUCACUCAAUACAUGGCAGCCAAAUCACCACAUGCAGUAAAACCCAGAUAAAAUAUAUUCAGCCAGGACUGUUGCUCUGUGAGUAGGUCUGGUAUCCAUGCUACAAAAUCUAUUAAGCCUAAAUAAUUUGGUCAUUUUAGCAAUACUCUUUAGAGAUUUUUUAAUGACAUUUCCCAAAGGUCAAGCUAGCUUAUGGUUAUGUGGAACUGCUGCAUUUAUAAGAGAGUUUAGUGGGUUCAUAAAAUAAGUCUUGCUCCCCAAAUCCGGAUCAUAAAGACCUUCUAUCAUAAAGGAUAAGAGUGACAUUUAAAAAACCAGUUUUUAAAAAAUGAUGGUAGCAAAUAAAUGCAGAUGAUCAGGAUGACAGCAAGUACCAAGUCAAAGCAACACGGAGAAGAAAUAGGCCCUAGCCUGCAGGUUACACUUUAAACACUGAGGAGAAAUGGGAGAGUAAAGAGCAACACUGAGCCUCAUCGG
This 8149-nucleotide long non-coding RNA is filed under the name Homo sapiens (human). RNAcentral's name for it is "HSALNT0059019". The record is from RNAcentral. Lineage: Eukaryota; Metazoa; Chordata; Mammalia; Primates; Hominidae.